CAGCUCUAAGUGGGUGGUAAAUUCCAUCUAAAGCUAAAUAUUGGCGAGAGACCGAUAGCGAACAAGUACAGUGAUGGAAAGAUGAAAAGAACUUUGAAAAGAGAGUGAAAAAGUACGUGAAAUUGUUGAAAGGGAAGGAUAUGAGAUCAGACUUGGUGUUUUGCAACCUUAUCUUCGGAUGGGGCCCCUGCAGUUCAUCGGGCCAGCAUCAGUUUGGAUGGUAGGAUAAUGACAUUGGAAUGUGACUUGGCUUCGGUUAAGUGUUAUAGCCCUUGUUGAUACUGCCUGUCUAGACUGAGGACUGCGUCUUUGACUAGGAUGCUGGCAUAAUGAUCCUAUAUCGC
Molecule: ribosomal RNA, 344 nt
Filed under: uncultured Saccharomycetes
Lineage: Eukaryota; Fungi; Ascomycota; Saccharomycetes
Description: eukaryotic LSU rRNA
Rfam family: Eukaryotic large subunit ribosomal RNA
Source: RNAcentral